Non-coding RNA from Microcebus murinus (gray mouse lemur), 565 nucleotides. NCBI's taxonomy places the organism in Eukaryota, Metazoa, Chordata, Mammalia, Primates, Cheirogaleidae. The record is from RefSeq and is a predicted model, not a curated record.
GAACUAUCUGAAGGCAACAUGGUUCUUCUCUCUAGAAACCAAAAAUGUGAAGCCAGGAAAGCUAUGGAUACUGAAGAGAGCAGGGGAGUUCCUGGAAGGGAGAGAACCAGACAGCACAUUACUUUUAUGGAGUAACUUUUAGAAGGACCUUACUCCACCACCAUCACUGCUGAUCUGACCAGGUGAAGCUCCCAAAAUUGCUGUGGAGAUUGCUGCCUUCCUGGAAGUCAGAAGGCUAAAAGAAUACAUAGGGUUGCAUGUGGGAGAUUUUUAUGACCCAAACCUAUCUGUUCACAUAUCUCUUAGGCCCACCUUCCCCUGGUCAAAAUACACUUCCAGUGCCACACCUCAUUGCUGGAGAACCAGAGAGUAGAGUCUUCUAGCCCAAGAAGAAGGAAAUAUCGGUUUUGGCAAGUAGUCAGCAAUCUCUGCCACACUCAAUUGGCAUUCUUUGAAUUAUUUUUAGCAUACUUCACUAAGAACUGAAAGAGAGGAACACUUAAUAUAGGUCCUGCAAAUAAUAAGUAUUCAAUACAUCCUUGUUGAAAUCAAUAAAUGAAUCCAA